GACAGAGGCCACAAGCGUUAGUCGGAAUCACUGGGCUUAAAGGGUGCGUAGGCGGUCUUCAAAGCGUCCUGUGAAAGCCUCCGGCUCAACCGGAGAACAGCAGGGCGAACUGGAAGACUCGAGGCUGGUAGGGGCUCACAGAACAGUCGGUGGAGCGGUGAAAUGCGUAGAGAUCGACUGGAAUGCCGAUGGCGAAGGCGGUGAGCUGGGCCAGUCCUGACGCUGAGGCACGAAAGCGUGGGGAGCAAACGGG
RNAcentral lists this ribosomal RNA (253 nucleotides) under uncultured bacterium. Its description in RNAcentral is "partial 16S ribosomal RNA". It matches the Rfam family "Bacterial small subunit ribosomal RNA", at positions 524 to 776 of the family's 1533-position model. The record is from RNAcentral.